UGAGGAAUAUUGCGCAAUGGUCGAAAGGCUGACGCAGCGACGCCGCGUGGAGGAUGAAAUCCGUUAGGAUGUAAACUCCUUUUGCCGGGGAUGAAUCUCCCGUUUCACGGGACUGACUGUACCCGGCGAAUAAGGAUCGGCCAACUACGUGCCAGCAGCCGCGGUAAUACGUAGGAUCCGAGCGUUGUCCGGAAUUACUGGGUGUAAAGGGCGUGUAGGUGGGUCUCUAAGUCGGUGGUGAAAUCCCGCAGCUUAACUGCGGAACUGCCUCCGAUACUGGAGAUCUUGAGUGCGGCAGAGGGAGAUGGAAUUCAUGGUGUAGCGGUGAAAUGUGUAGAUAUCAUGAAGAACACCAGUAGCGAAGGCGGUCUCCUGGUCCGUAACUGACACUGAGGCGCGAAAGCGUGGGGAGCAAACAGGAUUAGAUACCCUGGUAGUCCACGCCUUAAACGAUGGAUACUCGGUGCUGGCCCGCGAGGGUCAGUGCCUAAGCUAACGCAUUAAGUAUCCCACCUGGGGAGUACGAUCGCAAGGUUG
Molecule: ribosomal RNA, 537 nt
Filed under: uncultured bacterium
Lineage: Bacteria
Description: bacterial SSU rRNA
Rfam family: Bacterial small subunit ribosomal RNA
Source: RNAcentral